CCCCACAGCUCGAGCAGCUCCAUUCUCCCUCCUGCAUCAAGAGAGAGGCUGGCAGCAAAAACUCAUCUCAUCUUCCUCUGAACCCCUUUGAAGGGAGUGGAAAUGAAUGAUAAAGUGGCAGUCGGCAGAAUAAAAAUUCAGCCUUAAAGGAGAACACGUGGCAAAAUCACAUCCAGCAUCAGCAACAAACACACACAAGGAGACUGACUGCCUGACCUUUUGGGGAGGUGUUUCAUGGUGUACCUGGCUUCCUGCAAUGGAACAACAACCUUCUCUGGGCCCCGUGCAGAUCACUGAAGGGUGGAGGGAGAACCUCCCCCUGCCCAUCUGUGUGAACUUGGCUAUUCUACACAGUAGCAGGAGCUGGGGUUCCCUGGAAGGUGACUCUUUUGUGAAAUGACGUGAAACUUC
This 411-nucleotide long non-coding RNA is filed under the name Manacus vitellinus (golden-collared manakin). RNAcentral describes it as "lncRNA (ENSMVIG00005018073.1)". The record is from RNAcentral. Lineage: Eukaryota; Metazoa; Chordata; Aves; Passeriformes; Pipridae.